Molecule: long non-coding RNA, 641 nt
Filed under: Rattus norvegicus (Norway rat)
Lineage: Eukaryota; Metazoa; Chordata; Mammalia; Rodentia; Muridae
Description: long non-coding RNA NONRATT025929
Source: RNAcentral
CGGCCGCGGGAGCGCAGUGCCAGCGCCGCCCGGCCCCACCGAGAGGGGCGCACUCGCCGCUGCGGGGCUCGCACCGCUCACCGCAGCCCCCUCCCGCCGACCCGCAAUGAAUGUCCAUUCUUCUGUUUCCUUGGAAACUGGUUUAAACGAGUAUUGGGGGUUGUUGCUUCAUUGCACAUGUUCAACUGUGUGCACUGAUAAACUUAACAACAGGUGAAGCACACAGGCAACAAAUAGAUGAAACAUAAGAACAAACCAUCUCGAGCAAACAAGUGAGACAUACAGCACAAACCGCCCUCAACGAUGACUUUGAACAGCUCUUUAGAGAAUUUUAUACUGCCUGCCCUCACCACAGUCCUCUCAAACCCUGAAUAAGUAAGUGGUCUGUGCCUGUUCCAAGGGCAGAGUGGAAAGUGGCAGUGGUCCUGUCCAGUGGACAUACUGCUUCCCUACUUGGACUCUCCAGGAUUCCAUCACAGAUUGCUGCAAUGUCUGUAUCUAAUCUAUCAUGGUUGAAGAAAAAGUCCCAGUCAGUGGAUAUUACUGCUCCAGGGUUCAACCCUUUGGGUGGUGCAGGGAAGCAAGCACCACAAGCCAGCAAGCCCCCAGCACCCAAGACUCCCAUCAUAGAAGAAGAACAG